AGGUACUUUAAUACUUAUUCGAUAUUAUAUUAUAGUCGGUGUCAUUUAUUAACGCCUAAAAUUUAUUAUAUAAUAACAAAAAAAAGAGCUGGUAUGAAGAUAUGGAGAUGGAAGCGGCCACUGUUAUAGGUGAGAAGUUGGAAGGUAGGAUACAUAAGGUUAUUUCAUUUAUAUCUGUAAGUAACGAUAAAUCGUUGCUUGAUGAAAGACGAUUCCGAGCGCAGUUCGGUAAUUCAUAAUUCUUGCGAUUUUCGUUUAAAUUUGAUUUCAAAACGCUAAAAGAAAAAAAAAAAAUUCGUUCGAUGAUUUUGGAUAUUUGAUCACGUCUAGGUAAGUCCAAUAUAAGUAUUAAUACAAGUUUCAAGUCUCCACGUGUACCUAUAACCGAAUUACAGCAAAAAAAACUCCUAAAAAUUAAAAUUCCUUAAAAGUUCAAAAGUGGCUCAAAAGUUUUGGCGAUGAUACCGUUAAAAAUUAAAUCAAAAAGAC
Molecule: non-coding RNA, 489 nt
Organism: Cinara cedri
Lineage: Eukaryota; Metazoa; Arthropoda; Insecta; Hemiptera; Aphididae
Source: the annotation of a GenBank genome assembly